Molecule: long non-coding RNA, 904 nt
Organism: Cyprinus carpio carpio
Lineage: Eukaryota; Metazoa; Chordata; Actinopteri; Cypriniformes; Cyprinidae
Source: Ensembl
CAAUGACCAUCUUCUCUAACCAAAGACCUCCAGAUGACUUUCCCUUUUGCCUGGCUCACAUCAAAAACACUGUGAUCCACUAAAACACAGGCCACAGAAUCAUUCGAAAUGGAGUGGGGAUUUGUGUUUAAAGCUACAUUAGUAGGCAGAGGAUGUGUCAUUACUGGGCAGCGUAAGCAGGCUCUGCUAGAAUGAAGCGAUUGAGGAAGAAAGAGGGAGAGGAAGAGAGAGAAAUGGAGAGUGGCACUGGAAAGGUUCUGUACCAGAGCUCUUUUGUUCAAAACGAACACACACCUGCCCCGGGCAAGGACACAAAGUGAUCCCAGAAAGGGACCUGCACAGAGAAAGACGGGAUUUGGAUUUUAAUGCAACAUAAAAUAAGAAUAGCAUAAAAAAUAAGAAAUCAGAGCUGUGUUAAUCUGAAGAUCAAGCAGGAAAAAAAAGAGGAGAGGGAUGGAGAGAAAAUGAAAGACAGAAAGAGGAGAGGAAAAACAAGCACAUGUGAUGUCAAGGAGAAGGUUUCCCAUUCUAAUACUCAUUCAACUACAGAAGGCCUAGUCACAACAGACGACUUCGUCACCACCGUCUCCACCACCCGCAGGACCACCACUCUCCGUACGCGGAGCGUGAAGAGACCCAAUCAGAACCUCAGCCGAAACACAAGCUCAGGAUGCAGUGUGGGUUCACUCUAUACAUCAGUCUGCUGUUCCCUCCUCCUGAUGGCCAUGAUGCAAGGGCUAUGAGGGUCCUUCGAUUAAAUUAUAAAUUCAAGUUAACAAAUAGAUAACAAAUAUUUUCAAAUAAUGUUGAUGUUUAACAUAUUAUGGAAAUAUAAAAUGGACUUAAACUUCCAAAACAGAACAGUCUCACAAUGUACCGAUUUAGUGGAGCAACAAACAGGAUU